UACAGAGGUCUCAAGCGUUGUUCGGAUUCAUUGGGCGUAAAGGGCGCGUAGGCGGCGGGGUAAGUCGGGUGUGAAAUCUCAGAGCUCAACUCUGAAACUGCACUCGAUACUGCUCUGCUAGAGUCCGGAAGAGGAGAAUGGAAUUCCUGGUGUAGCGGUGAAAUGCGCAGAGUAUCAGGAAGAACACCCGUGGCGAAGGCGGCUCUCUGGGACGGUACUGACGCUGAGACGCGAAAGCGUGGGGAGCGAACAGG
Molecule: ribosomal RNA, 254 nt
Filed under: uncultured bacterium
Lineage: Bacteria
Description: partial 16S ribosomal RNA
Rfam family: Bacterial small subunit ribosomal RNA
Source: RNAcentral